CCGAGUGAGGGCCCCCGGCCCGACCUCCCACCCCAUGUUUUCCGACCUCUGUUGCCUCGGGGGCGACCCGGCCGUCACCCCGGCCGGGGCCCCCCGUGGACCCCAACCAAACCCUGCAUGCCUGCGUCUGAGUCUAUUGAUAAAUUCAAUCA
This 152-nucleotide unclassified non-coding RNA is filed under the name uncultured Penidiella. RNAcentral's name for it is "sequence contains ITS1". The record is from RNAcentral. Lineage: Eukaryota; Fungi; Ascomycota; Dothideomycetes; Capnodiales.